Molecule: ribosomal RNA, 459 nt
Filed under: uncultured bacterium
Lineage: Bacteria
Description: partial 16S ribosomal RNA
Rfam family: Bacterial small subunit ribosomal RNA
Source: RNAcentral
CCUACGGGAGGCAGCAGUGAGGAAUAUUGGUCAAUGGGCGGGAGCCUGAACCAGCCAAGUCGCGUGAGGGAUGACGGCCCUAUGGGUUGUAAACCUCUUUUGCCGGGGAGCAAAGCGCCGCACGUGUGCGGUUUGGAGAGUACCUGGAGAAAAAGCAUCGGCUAACUCCGUGCCAGCAGCCGCGGUAAUACGGGGGAUGCGAGCGUUAUCCGGAUUUAUUGGGUUAAAGGGGUGCGUGGGCGGACGCUUAUGUCAGCGGUAAAAUUGUGGGGCUCAAGCUCGUCGAGCCGUUGUAACGGGGUGCCUUGAGUGGGCGAGAGGUAUGCGGAAUGCGUGGUGUAGCGGUGAAAUGCAUAGAUAUCACGAAGAACUCCGAUUGCGAAGGCAGCAUACCGGCGCUCAACUGACGCUCAUGCACGAAAGUGUGGGUAUCGAACAGGAUUAGAUACCCGGGUAGUC